Molecule: ribosomal RNA, 308 nt
Filed under: uncultured bacterium
Lineage: Bacteria
Description: bacterial SSU rRNA
Rfam family: Bacterial small subunit ribosomal RNA
Source: RNAcentral
AUUGAACGCUGGCGGAAUGCUUUACACAUGCAAGUCGAACGGCAGCACGGGGGCAACCCUGGUGGCGAGUGGCGCACGGGUGAGUAAUACAUCGGAACGUGUCCUAGGGUGGGGGAUAGCCCGGCGAAGCCGGAUUAAUACCGCAUACGCUCGAAAGAGGAAAGUGGGGGAUCGUAAGAUCUCACGCCCAAGGAGCGGCCGAUGCCGGAUUAGCUUGUUGGUGAGGUAAAAGCUCACCAAGGCGACGAUCCGUAGCUGGUCUGAGAGGACGACCAGCCACACUGGGACUGAGACACGGCCCAGACUCC